RNAcentral lists this ribosomal RNA (253 nucleotides) under uncultured bacterium. RNAcentral describes it as "partial 16S ribosomal RNA". It matches the Rfam family "Bacterial small subunit ribosomal RNA", at positions 524 to 776 of the family's 1533-position model. The record is from RNAcentral.
UACGAAAGGGGCUAGCGUUGCUCGGAAUCACUGGGCGUAAAGCGCACGUAGGCGGAUUGCUAAGUCAGGGGUGAAAUCCUGGAGCUCAACUCCAGAACUGCCUUUGAUACUGGCGAUCUUGAGUCCGGGAGAGGUGAGUGGAACUGCGAGUGUAGAGGUGAAAUUCGUAGAUAUUCGCAAGAACACCAGUGGCGAAGGCGGCUCACUGGCCCGGUACUGACGCUGAGGCGCGAGAGCGUGGGGAGCAAACCGG